GCUUAACACAUGCAAGUCGAGGGGCAGCAUUUUAGUUUGCUUGCAAACUGAAGAUGGCGACCGGCGCACGGGUGAGUAACACGUAUCCAACCUGCCGAUAACUCCGGGAUAGCCUUUCGAAAGAAAGAUUAAUACCGGAUAGCAUACGAAUAUCGCAUGAUAUUUUUAUUAAAGAAUUUCGGUUAUCGAUGGGGAUGCGUUCCAUUAGUUUGUUGGCGGGGUAACGGCCCACCAAGACUACGAUGGAUAGGGGUUCUGAGAGGAAGGUCCCCCACAUUGGAACUGAGACACGGUCCAAACUCCUACGGGAGGCAGCAGUGAGGAAUAUUGGUCAAUGGGCGCGAGCCUGAACCAGCCAAGUAGCGUGAAGGAUGAAGGCUCUAUGGGUCGUAAACUUCUUUUAUAUGGGAAUAAAGUUUUCCACGUGUGGAAUUUUGUAUGUACCAUAUGAAUAAGGAUCGGCUAACUCCGUGCCAGCAGCCGCGGUAAUACGGAGGAUCCGAGCGUUAUCCGGAUUUAUUGGGUUUAAAGGGAGCGUAGGUGGAUUGUUAAGUCAGUUGUGAAAGUUUGCGGCUCAACCGUAAAAUUGCAGUUGAAACUGGCAGUCUUGAGUACAGUAGAGGUGGGCGGAAUUCGUGGUGUAGCGGUGAAAUGCUUAGAUAUCACGAAGAACUCCGAUUGCGAAGGCAGCUCACUAGACUGUCACUGACACUGAUGCUCGAAAGUGUGGGUAUCAAACAGGAUUAGAUACCCUGGUAGUCCACACAGUAAACGAUGAAUACUCGCUGUUUGCGAUAUACAGUAAGCGGCCAAGCGAAAGCAUUAAGUAUUCCACCUGGGGAGUACGCCGGCAACGGUGAAACUCAAAGGAAUUGACGGGGGCCCGCACAAGCGGAGGAACAUGUGGUUUAAUUCGAUGAUACGCGAGGAACCUUACCCGGGCUUAAAUUGCAACAGAAUAUAUUGGAAACAGUAUAGCCGUAAGGCUGUUGUGAAGGUGCUGCAUGGUUGUCGUCAGCUCGUGCCGUGAGGUGUCGGCUUAAGUGCCAUAACGAGCGCAACCCUUAUCUUUAGUUACUAACAGGUCAUGCUGAGGACUCUAGAGAGACUGCCGUCGUAAGAUGUGAGGAAGGUGGGGAUGACGUCAAAUCAGCACGGCCCUUACGUCCGGGGCUACACACGUGUUACAAUGGGGGGUACAGAAGGCGGCUACCUGGUGACAGGAUGCUAAUCCCAAAAACCUCUCUCAGUUCGGAUCGAAGUCUGCAACCCGACUUCGUGAAGCUGGAUUCGCUAGUAAUCGCGCAUCAGCCAUGGCGCGGUGAAUACGUUCCCGGGCCUUGUACACACCGCCCGUCAAGCCAUGAAAGCCGGGGGUACCUGAAGUACGUAACCGCAAGGAGCGUCCUAGGGUAAAACUGGUAAUUGGGACUAAGUC
RNAcentral lists this ribosomal RNA (1438 nucleotides) under uncultured organism. Its description in RNAcentral is "16S ribosomal RNA". It matches the Rfam family "Bacterial small subunit ribosomal RNA". The record is from RNAcentral.